GGCAAUUUACCGCCAUUCUGAAUGUCGUCAUUUUUGAAGCUGGGAAUUUCCUUGCACGUGUUACUGCACGCCACAGCAAUGCGCAAAGCGAUUGAAAUGAUGAAAUCUCAGCCGAUUCUGUUUUGAUUUUCAGGUGAUCGUUGUUCUGUUUUUCCAUCAAUUUAACAAUGUUGAUUUCUCCGUCGAAUUUCAAUUUCUGAUUGUUCGUCUUCGCUUUCAGUCUUUGAAUUGAUUCCCUGCUAAAACUAAAAAUCCUCUCCCUUAAUGGAGCAUCGCCGGCGAAAGUAACUUUCGGUCCAUCAGCCGGGAGUUUCAGUACAGAAUUUGAAAUUAAAACAGAAUUACGUGUAAAAUCAGGCUGCCUUACAAUCCUUUUCACACCUCUACUCACCUCAGCAAAUGUAUUGAAGAAAUUCCAAAACGAAGUCCCGUCAGUGACGGAAUGAUUGACGGCGCAUCCAAUAAAUACGCCGUCAGCUAAUUCCGUCACUUGAACAGCUAGAAGAGGGAUAAAAUGCCCUCGAUAGCUAACCGUUCGGUCCAAAGGGAAAAACUCCUUAACAUGAUCAGGAACAUCAAUAGAGCCUAUGAUAUCACGAAUGAAAAUGUGAGUAGCUGUAGCAUGUACAAAAUCAACUCCAUCAUCGUUGCAGGUAAUGUAGACAUAGUCAUUUAGAUCCGUCACAAAUCGCCCGGCGAGCGGAGGAAAGCGAGUGAGAGUCUGAGAAAGACUGAGCUUGAGAAGGGAAAUGAGUUGAGGUAUAGGAAAAGGUGGACGAGUAAAUAAACAACCUUUUUGAAUGUAGUGAACAGAGAGCAUAGGAAGAUCGGAAACGGAGAGUUUCAGAUGAGGAAGUGACGAUUUUUCCGACGGGAAAAUGGUGCAUUUGGAGAGUAAAGUAACAUGAGCUGCAGCAGCAGAAGGCAUUGUUAGUUAAUUAGGUAUUGUACUUGUCAGGCUGAGGAUGAAGUGAGAGUACUAAUAAGAAAGGGUUUAUAUAGGAGAUUUGAUUCAUGCAUUUGUGGUAGUGCUCAUUUGUCUUUUUCUCUUUGUUGCUAAGUUUGAAACAUGGGGAGAAUUUGACCUCAUUUUUAUUUUUUUAAAAUUUUGGGGGACUGCACUUAAAAAAUGACUAGCUGGCGCAUGUCCAACGUGAAAAUGGAUUCAAAAUUUAAUAUUUAUAUAAUAUCUUAAAGUUAUCUUCACUAGUUAUAACUAGUAAAUUACUCUCCCCCGUCUAAUAUUAGUGGUCCAAUAAUAUUUGUUCACUUUUAUAAAAUCAAUGGAUGAUUUUGCAUUUAAUUUCUAGUUUUAUCUUUAUCAUUAAUUAUAGUCAUUCCUUUAUUAUAUUUUUUAAGAUAUUAUAUUUAUUAUAUACAAAGAGUAAUAUAGUAAAAUUACUCUUCUAUUUAUAGUUUUUUAAGAAAUGUGUAAAGUCAAUCGUGAACAUGUAUUAGAUAGGUGGAGUAUUAUGAUGUCAGGAGAUUACGAGUUCGGGUUGUGAAAAUAACUUCUUCUAGAAAUACAGAAUAAUGUUGCAUAUAAUAGAUAUUUAUGAUUCAGUUCUUUUCUUAAAAACAAAAAAAACAAAAGUUUAGUAGAUUGGACCCUUUUUUUCCUCUUCACACCCUAUAUAAUAUCUUUUUUUUUCGUCUUCAUAUAUUUAUAAUUUUUUAGUAAAUUCAUGAAAUUUGAUUCAUGCAUUUGUGAGAGGUGGCUGUUGUUGUCUUUUCUUUUUGUUUUCAUUUCCGCUUUGGCAAGUGCUACUCAUAGAUUUGACUGGUCGGACAUGCCCAACCGGCCCCAUAUAUCUAUAAACAAAUAUAAUCACAAGUAAAACUGUUUCAUUCUUAAUGAGAGAUUUUAGAUUUGAGUUUUAAAUAUGGAGAAAAAAGUGUUAUUCUCGAAUAGAUUUGUAAUGUGCGAUUUGAAAUUCAUACUAUAAAAUCAGACUUUAAAGAUAAAAUAUCCUCUUUCAAAAUUAUUAUAAUUCAAAAUUUGGCAACUUGAACCUCAAAGUCAAACUAUAUUGAACUACUAGUCCCUCCUUCAAUUUACUUGUCCCCAUAAAAUACUCUGUCUCAUUUUAAUUAUCAUCAAGAAAAUAAUAAAUAUAAGAAAUAAUUAAUUAUUAAAAUAUUUUUGUUUUAAAAAAAUAUAUUAAUGUAUGAGCGCCGUCUUUUAACGUUCUGUAUGUGAUCUGGCAUUCUCUUUAUGAUUACAAAACUCAAUUUGGAAUCUACUCACCAUUUAAUUAAAAUAUUUCUGCUAAUUAAUUAUUUAAUUAAUUAAUUCCACUAAUAAUUUAAUAUAGUUUUAAUAAUAAACUUAGCUUGUUUUGUAAAUAAUCCAACUUAAGAGUUCAGUUUGUUAAUGUCCACAAUGAUCCUCUAAACCGUCUUUUUUUAUUGGUCGGUGUAUUCAAUUAAUUUAAUCCAAUUAGGAUAUAAACAAAGUACAUUAUUUAAUUAAUUGUUUUUACUGAUCUGUAGUUCCACUUGAUAUAUGCUGUCUUUUCAUUAAUUACGUAAUUAAUAGGGAGUACUACAACUAUGUGCAUGCCAUCUUUGGGAAUUUUCUUUAAUCAUUUAGGUAGAAUUGGAGUCAAAAUUUGAAAUUUUAAUUUUUUUUUAAAGUUAUAGAAUUUAAAUUAAUAAUUUUUAUAUCUUCAAUAAUUUUUUUACUAUAAAUUCAAAAUUUGAAAUUUUUUUAAUGAAUUCGAUCAAACUUGUAUUCAACACUUUGAAAAAAAUAUGCAUCUGCAUGUUUGGUAUUCUUCUUUGCGACCUGUGACUCUCGCCUCCUAUUUGUUCAAGGCAAGCAACAUGAAUUUGAUUCAUUCUAUGUAUUCAAUUUUGUUGUUGAAAUGCUUAGUUAAUUUCUUAACCUUGAUAGAAAAAUUAUUUAUUCAAUAAUUCGCGUAUGAAGAUAAGUAAUUUGGAUCUCAAAAUAAUUAUUGUAAAAAAAAUUCUCUCUUUAUUUCAAUUUAUGUGCCAUUUGUUUUUCGAAAGUCAAACAGUUUAAGUUUGAUCGUGAAUUUGCGCAUGGAAUCUUUAAUUUUUUGAAAUGAAAUAUAUAUAUUUGUAAACUACAUAAAAAAUAUUAUAAGUCACAAUAAUUGGUAAUUAAAAUGUUUAAAAGAUCUAUGAAAAAUUUACGAUAAAAAAUAGACUUAUUUGAAUCUCGAUCGAAAUUCAAAAAUUGUCAUGAAACGAAGGGAGUAUUUCUUAGACAAAUAAGACAAAUCAAUGAUUUGUACGGUGGCCGUCCUUUCUACAAAAAAUGGGUGGGAAUCUCUCACUCUCUUACUUACAAAUAGCCAAUUUUUAAUUUUCAAAAAAAGAAAACUUGUAGUCAAAUUAAAUAUAUAAACUAUCGUCUACCACGUUUUAAUUAAUUAAUUUUAACUUUUAAUGGAAAUACUAUAAUUAAAAGACUUUUAUCAUAUAUUAUAAUUAAACAAACUAAAACACUCAUGUAUUUAGUAAAUUUAUGAAAUUUGAUUCAUGCAUUUGUGGAGGUGGUUGUUGCUGUCUUUUCUUAUUUGUUUUGAUUCAUGCAUUUGAUACUUUUUUUGAGAUAUUAAAAUUAUUUUUCAAACACAUUUUAAUUCAUUUCAUGAUAUUUAAGAAAUUUUUCCUCUGGUCCAUAUUAUGUGAAUUGUCAAAACAUUUCAUAAGAAAAAAAAUUAAAAACAAAAGCUAAGUGUUACUUUUCACUAUUAUCCUUUGAUUAUUCUCAAACUAUUAAUUUUCAAGGUUUCGACAUUAAAAAUCAAAUGAUUCUUUGUUUAAGUUUAAUAAUAAAGUAAAGGAAAUCGCCUUGCUUCUCUCUUUUCUCCUCCAAAAUGUGAAGUAGUUAAAGAACCCUCAUUUAAAAAACAUGAUAAACAUGAAGAAAACAAAAUCUCAAAAAAUCUCUUGAUUUUUUUUUAAAUGAUUUUUUUUUAAUAUGAAAAAAGUCUCGGUAACUCACUUAAUAUAGACUUGAGGGGAGGAGUGGACCCACCCAUAUCGAAGGGGUGUCAAGCAACACCUCUUUGUCGGAAAAUUAAUACACCAUAUAUAGAGGUUAAAUUUUGGUGUUAUAUAUAUUAAGUAUUGACAUCUCUAAACACAAAUUAAAUAUUUAGUUUAGUGGUUAAGAUAUUGCGAAAAGUCCUUGAGGUCGUCUUGAAUCAGUUACUGCAUAAUAUUUUUAGGCUAAAUGACGAUUAAAAUGAGACGAAGGAAAUAAAAUACAGGAGUGCUGUCUUUUAUCGUUCUGUAUAAUGUAACCAUUAUAUUCUCCUUAUAAUUACAAACAUAGUUUGGAAUCUCCUCACCAUUAAUCAGAUUCUUCUGCUAAUUAACUAAUAAAAAAUACUUUUAAUAAUUGAACUUAGCUUGUAUUAUAAGAUCCUCUAAACCGUCUUUUUUGAUUGGUCGGUGUGUUCUAUAACUCUAAUCCAAUCAAUAAAUGAACAAAUUGGAUGUAAAUUAACAAAAUACAGUAUACAAUAUAAUCUACUAAUAAUAUUAUACAUACUGCAAUGUAUUAUUUUUAAUGGUUUGACUCCAUAUAUAAUUCUAUCUGACAGAGGCGUAUUCAUGAUUCAAAGUUUUAUGAGUUUAAAAUUUGAUCUUGUCGUCUAUCGGCAUUGAAUUCAUUAUAUGAUUACUUUUUAUUGAAGUUUAAAUAUGUGAAUUUAUGUUCAGUGUCGGAAAUACUAGAUUUAAUCUUUGAUGAUACUAUUCUACAUCCACCUAUAUGAUGUCUUCAUAUUAAUUAAUAGUGACAAAUUAAGGUGUCAAAGUAACCUUAAUUAAUGUUUUUUUCAGCUUCCAUGUGAAUGACAGUUAACGAUAUUUGUGAAGGAUAUUUAAAGAUAAUAAUUAUACUAGUUUUUAUUUUGUUAGGACUAUUCAAUUACUUGAACAAUAUAAUACUACUAAUAGUACGAUGAAAAAUGCUUAAUAUAUUAAUCUUUAAUUAAUGUACGCUGUAUCAGCUGAAGUGUGUGCAUUAUUUCAUCUUUGUAGGGUUUAUUGACAGCUUUAAAAAUACUUAUUUAUUUGACUAAUUAAAUUUUAAUACACCCCUAAUUUUGUAAUAUGAGUGAAAUGCACUCUUAAAUUCUCGCCAAGUUUAGAUGUGUUUUCAAUACUUCUCUCGGCUUUUUAUUAAAAGUCACAUGUUCUUACAAGAGUUUGAGACCACUUGCUAUGUUGUAUAGCAGAUCGGGGAUAUAUCUAAAUUUAGUUAGUCAAGUAUAAGAGUUUGUGGUUAUCAAUAAUUCAAAAAUCAAACUAAUAAUUUACGCCAAGAUCAGAAUUGUUCUCGAUAUUUCUCAAUAACUAAAAAGGUCAAUAGUAUCAAAUUGUCAUGUUCAAAAAAUGACUAGUGUAAAGUUUAGAUAUGUUUUCAAAUUCAGGGGAAUCCCAAUCUAUUUUGCCCAAAAUAACUAACAUAAAAUUAGUGUAUAAAUGAUAUAAUAUAUAUAUUUAGGGGGACAAAUCCCUGAUCCCAGAAUCUGUUUUGGGGCUGUCAUUCUAUACUUACGUCUUAAAACAGCAAAUAUUUUAAACAAUACUAAUAUUGUUAUGUAUUAUUGUAAGCUUAGUCAUUAACAUGAAUAUUAAUUAAUUAAUAUGGUCAGACUUUAAUCACUCUAUUUGUCAUGAUUUAGAUGCAUACUCCUUUUAUCAGUUGACAAAGAAUUUCCACACGCCAAGUGAUAACAUAUUUAGUGGCAGUUGAGUUAAUAUUAUUAUAUCCAGAGUCUUUAAAGCUUUUAACGACAUUUAUAUAGAGUAUUGAUCAUAAAUAUCCAUAUUUAUUAUUGUCGCUAAAUAUAAUAGAACAACAAUUUUACUAUAGCACUUUUUAAACCUAUAAUAAAUUUGAAAAAUGACUAUAGUUAAUAAUAAGGGUAAAUUAGAAACUAAAUAAUAAAUUAUCUCGUGAUUUUCUAAGGUAAACUAUAAAACUAAAAAUCUAUUUUUAUUAUAAUGAACAAGUAAAAGUGAACCAAGAAAAUAACGCUUAGUAAUCGUAUUUUCACUAAUACGUCCCCUAUUGAAAAUUGAUACAUUAGUAAGAAUGCUCUAAACUGCGUUGCCAAAUCAAAAAUAGGACAAAAAAAUUAAAAUGGAGGAAAUAUUAACGAGCGCUAUUUUUUACCGUUGUAAUAUGUGAUCUGUCAUUCUCCUUAAACUAAUUAAUUAGUACUUAAUUAAUUCCACUAAUAAUUUAAAAAUAUUUUUAAUAAUUGAACUUAUCUUGUGUUUUAAAUGAUCCUCAAAACCAUCAUUUCUGAUUGGUCGGCGCAUUAAUUUAAUCCAAUUAUGAACAAUUAGAUAUAAACUAAAUACAGUAUACAGGUAGAAAUAGUAUCUACUAGUAAUAUUAUACGUACCACUAUGUAUUAUUUAAUUAUUUGACCUAUAGUUCCAGUUUAUUUAUGCUGUCUUUAUAUUUCUAUUUCUAUUUCUACUAUAUUAUAAAAGAGAGUUUAGGGCCAAGUAUAAUAUAUAAUAUUAAGAUUGGGACUUUUCCCAAUCUUGAAUAUUAUAUAUUAUACUUGUGGGACUUUUAAAAUUCUACUUUAUACCCAAGUAUAUAAUAUAUAAUAUUCAAGAUUGGGACUUUUCCCAAUCUUGAAUAUAAAUUGACUGAUCUAUUUAGAAAUGACUUAAAAAGAUAAAUCAUUUACAAAUGACUUCAAAUAUUUAAAAGAUAUAUAAUAAAAUAGGUUGACUCUCAGAAUUUUAUCAGGCUCACAUAUAUUGGGACAGAAAAAAUAACACAUAUCAUUUUAAUAUUACCAAAAAAGUAUUAUAAAUAAUAAUAAUUAACAACUUAAAAUAUCUGAAAGACAUUUUAAAAGGGUUAAUUUUGUAAUUUUAUCCAUAUCACAUAAAUUAGGACAAAGUGACCAGUAAUGUACAUUAUUUCAAAGUUACACAAAAAUAUUAUAAAUCAGAAUAAUUAAUAACUUCAAACAUUUAAAAAAAAUAUGAAAAUUUGGAUGACUCUCCAAAUUUCAUUUGUGUCACAUAAAUUGAGACAACAAAAANNNNNNNNNNNNNNNNNNNNNNNNNNNNNNNNNNNNNNNNNNNNNNNNNNNNNNNNNNNNNNNNNNNNNNNNNNNNNNNNNNNNNNNNNNNNNNNNNNNNNNNNNNNNNNNNNNNNNNNNNNNNNNNNNNNNAUAAUUGACAACAUAAAAUAUGUUUUGAAAAAAAAUACAAAAAAUUCCACUGAUUCUUGAAGUGAAUCUAUCGUAAAAAUACUAUAAAUCAUGAUAAUUGACAACAUAAAAUAUUUCAAAAAUGUUGUAUGUGGGUGGUCUUAUUAUGCCUUAAAUAGCGUCAAAGAAAGUACAUGUUUGUGAUAAAAAAAACUUAUUCCUUUAUCCACGCAAACAAUCGCUUCAAAAACUCGGUUAUUAGCCCCAAAAUAUACCAUUUAUAUUAUUGGGCCCGUGCAUAGCACGGGCAACAUUAUCUAGUUAUAAUAUAAUAGUCACUCUAUUGUUAUGUGAAAAAAAUGUAGUAUAAAACUAUAAUAAAUAAAAGAUUUGUGAUAAUUAUUUAGCAAUAAUAAUAUAAUUAUCGUUAUAGUAUAUUUAGUGGCAAUAAUAAAUAUAAAUAUUUAUAAUCAAUACUCUAUAUAAAUGUCGCUAAAAGUUUUAGCAACUCUGAAUACAACGACAUUAACUUAAUUACUGUAAAUGUUUUUCGAUAAUAAAUAUUGCCGAUAAAAAGGAAAAUCUAUUGUCACUAGAGAGUGUUUGAUUAAUAUUUUUCAAUUUUCUCAUGUUUGAUUGAUUUAAAUGUUUCCGAAUUAACUUAUUUUCCUCAAAUUUAAGAAAAAUGACUUAUCUCUAAAAGGUAAGGAAAAUAUUUUCGAAAACUCUAUUUCAAUCUCACGCCUCAACUUUCCACCCCUAACUCAUGUCUCGAGUAACAAUUCCUAAUACUAAUUCGGUAUCUUGACUCUCUAUUUGGAACCCGACUUCCGACCUCGAUUCAAGCCAAUCUGGACUUCAAGUCGGAUCGAGGUUAGAUCACAAUUUAAGUGUCAAAUCCCGAGUGAGGUUGAAUUUCAGAUCAAAUGUCGGAAUCGGAUUCCGAAUGGGUAAAUUUUCCAAGGCUACAGUAGAAAAUUUGGAAGAUAUUUACAUAAACCCUUAUAACUAAUUAAUGAUAACAAUAGGUAAAAUCAUGUUAAUUCUUUUUAUCUCAUUAAUUUAAAAAUUUGAUUUUUCGAUUAUCGUUCCUUCGUAGGCAUCUAAAAGAGAAUAUAUUCACGUUUUUUGUCAUAUCAAUAUCAAGUGGAUAGGGGUUGUUAAGCCUAGCUAUCAAAUUGCUAAAUUCAAGGAAUAAUUAACGUAAAGUUUAGCUAUUUUUAAAUCAAAAAGACUUGUAUUCAAACUAUUACCUACCACUUUUUAAUUAAAUAAUUAAUUAAUUAACUCAAUUUAUAAUUAAAAUUUUUUAAAAGACCUUAAUCAUUGAUUGUGUUUAAAAGACAGCCUAAUUUUUAAUUCAUAAAUUAUAUUAAUCAGAUUAAUCAUGAAAUAGGUACACUUACUACUAUUAUGCAAUAAUUUGAUAGUUUGAUUCUGUAGUUAAAUGAACUUGGACAUUAUAACAGCAAUUCGAAAAAUAAGUAUACUAUUUUAGUCGUUUGUUUAUUUUUAUUUGUUCAUAUUUAACUUGGCAAGACGUAAUUACAGUAACAUUCAGUACACAGUAACAUACUGCAUGAACUCCGGGUCAGACUCCAGGGCUUCCAUUGUUUCCGGCGAUAAAAUCACCUCCAAAUCAACGCUUCCUCCUCCUUCUCUCCCCGGAAAAGCUGAUAUCUUCCCGUCAAAUUUAUUCGCCCGUCCACUCCGAACAGCAACUGGCCUUCCCCACCCGAAAUCAUUAUCGUACAUUGGAAAUCUCGGCGAGCUCCCCAUUGUUAGCAUAGCUCCGUCGAAAUUUCCCAACGGAAAACACCUUGGAUCCUUUUCCCAAUCCUCUACGAACUUCCUCACCAUAACAUCAUCGUGCGCGUUCACGUUUUUGGUCAAUUGCUCUGCGCACCAGUACAGAUCAUUAGACAGAACUUCCCCUGCUGAUGCGUAAAUCGGAAUGCUCUGAAUUGCGUUGCCGAAGUAUAACGGAUUCAGCUUCGGCUGGAGACGGUGACGGCAAUUUACAGCCAUUCUAAAUGUCGUCAUUUUCGAAGGUGGGAAUUUCCUUGCACGUGUCACUGCACGCCAGAGCAAUGCGCAUAGCGAUUGAAAUGAUGAAAUCUCAGCCGUUUCUGUUUUGAUUUUCAUGUGAUCGUUGCUUUGUUUUGCAAUCAAUUCAACAAUGUUGAUUUCUCCGUCGAAACUCAAUUUCUGAUUGUUCGUCUUCGCUUUGAGUUUUAGAAUCGAUUCCCUGCUAAAACUAAAAAUCCUCUCCCUCAACGGAGCAUCACCGGAAAACGUGAUUUCAGGUCCAUCAGCCGGGAGUUUCAGUACAGAAUUUGAAAUUAAAACAGAAUCACGUGUAAAAUCAGGCUGCCUUACAAUCCUUUUCACACCUCUACUCACCUCAGCGAAUGUAUUGAAGAAAUUCCAAAUUGAUGUCCCGUC
Molecule: long non-coding RNA, 9614 nt
Filed under: Solanum tuberosum (potato)
Lineage: Eukaryota; Viridiplantae; Streptophyta; Magnoliopsida; Solanales; Solanaceae
Description: long non-coding RNA (STUB_LNC005978)
Source: RNAcentral